AGUGACAACAUGAAGAAUGAAGGA
This 24-nucleotide non-coding RNA is filed under the name Arabidopsis thaliana (thale cress). The record is from RNAcentral. Lineage: Eukaryota; Viridiplantae; Streptophyta; Magnoliopsida; Brassicales; Brassicaceae.